This 396-nucleotide ribosomal RNA is filed under the name Triticum aestivum (bread wheat). Its description in RNAcentral is "partial small subunit ribosomal RNA". The record is from RNAcentral. Lineage: Eukaryota; Viridiplantae; Streptophyta; Magnoliopsida; Poales; Poaceae.
AUGGAGGAGGUGCGGCCGGCUAUCGCUCAGCGUGCCUCGACGAUCGCCGAGUGCACUGACAUCAGCGCCUUUGCUCCUGAGAUAAAUGACGACGGUGUUGCCCAGCCGGAGGAAUGGUUCGGGCUAGACCCGGCAGAGGGUGAGGACUCGGCGGAGGAGAUCGCUUCUAGCGAUGAAGGUGAAGAUGAUGAAGGAGAGGAAGGCGAAGACGUCGAGCCGGCCGGUGAAGCGGCCAGCCAGCCUCAGCUUGACCGUGCCUCCAGCAACGAGGCGCGUGCUAGUGUGCCCUCUGCGGGAGGUGGUGAUCAUGCCGAGGCUCGCCAUCCGGCCACUCCUCCAGCCAGCACUACCGUCUCUACCGACCUGCCCGACUCGCAAGUCAUUCCCUUGGCUUAA